CAGUACACUGACUGUGCUAAGGUAGCAUAAUCAUUUGUCUUUUAAUUGAAGACUAGUAUGAAAGGCAUCAUGAAGAUAAGCUGUCUUAUGAAAAUUUAUUAUAAUUUUCUAAGGGGGUGAAAAUUCCUCCAUGCAGAUAAAUAAGACGAGAAGACCCUUAGAAUUAUAAUUAAACUUAUUACAAGUAAAUUUUUGUUGGGGCAACAUUAUCAAAUUUUAAACUGAUGAAGCUAAAUAUUACAGAGAGACUAUUUUAAAGAAGAAUUUAAUUACCUAAGGGAUAACAGCAUAAUUCUUAAUUGAGAGUAUGACCUCGAUGUUGGACUAGGGACUUUUUUCACU
This 342-nucleotide ribosomal RNA is filed under the name Mastus hemmeni. RNAcentral's name for it is "partial 16S ribosomal RNA". The record is from RNAcentral. Lineage: Eukaryota; Metazoa; Mollusca; Gastropoda; Stylommatophora; Enidae.